Molecule: ribosomal RNA, 604 nt
Filed under: uncultured bacterium
Lineage: Bacteria
Description: bacterial SSU rRNA
Rfam family: Bacterial small subunit ribosomal RNA
Source: RNAcentral
GAGAGAUGGGCUCGCGUCCGAUUAGAUAGUUGGCGGGGUAACGGCCCACCAAGUCGACGAUCGGUAGCCGGACUGAGAGGUUGAACGGCCACAUUGGGACUGAGACACGGCCCAGACUCCUACGGGAGGCAGCAGUGGGGGAUAUUGCACAAUGGGGGAAACCCUGAUGCAGCGAUGCCGCGUGAGUGAAGACGGCCUUCGGGUUGUAAAGCUCUGUCGCAGAGGACGAAAAUGACGGUACUCUGCAAGAAAGCUCCGGCUAACUACGUGCCAGCAGCCGCGGUAAUACGUAGGGAGCAAGCGUUGUCCGGAAUUACUGGGUGUAAAGGGAGCGUAGGCGGGAGGAUAAGUUGAAUGUGAAAUCUAUGGGCUCAACCCAUAGCUGCGUUCAAAACUGUUCUUCUUGAGUGAAGUAGAGGCAGGCGGAAUUCCUAGUGUAGCGGUGAAAUGCGUAGAUAUUAGGAGGAACACCAGUGGCGAAGGCGGCCUGCUGGGCUUUUACUGACGCUGAGGCUCGAAAGCGUGGGUAGCAAACAGGAUUAGAUACCCUGGUAGUCCACGCGGUAAACGAUGAUUACUAGGUGUGGGUGGACUGACCCCAUCC